Molecule: ribosomal RNA, 725 nt
Filed under: Saccharopolyspora erythraea
Lineage: Bacteria; Bacillati; Actinomycetota; Actinomycetes; Pseudonocardiales; Pseudonocardiaceae
Description: bacterial SSU rRNA
Rfam family: Bacterial small subunit ribosomal RNA
Source: RNAcentral
ACGCUGAAGCAUCUUCGGGUGUGGAUGAGUGGCGAACGGGUGAGUAACACGUGGGUAAUCUGCCCUGCACUCUGGGAUAAGCCCGGGAAACUGGGUCUAAUACCGGAUAGGACACAUGGCCGCAUGGUCUGUGUGUGGAAAGUUCCGGCGGUGCAGGAUGAGCCCGCGGCCUAUCAGCUUGUUGGUGGGGUGAUGGCCUACCAAGGCGACGACGGGUAGCCGGCCUGAGAGGGUGACCGGCCACACUGGGUCUGAGACACGGCCCAGACUCCUACGGGAGGCAGCAGUGGGGAAUCUUGCGCAAUGGGCGAAAGCCUGACGCAGCAACGCCGCGUGGGGGAUGACGGCCUUCGGGUUGUAAACCUCUUUCGACAUCGACGAAGCCUUCGGGUGACGGUAGGUGUAGAAGAAGCACCGGCUAACUACGUGCCAGCAGCCGCGGUAAUACGUAGGGUGCGAGCGUUGUCCGGAUUUAUUGGGCGUAAAGAGCUCGUAGGCGGUUUGUCGCGUCGUUCGUGAAAACUGGAGGCUUAACCUUCAGCUUGCGGUCGAUACGGGCAGACUUGAGUUCGGUAGGGGAGACUGGAAUUCCUGGUGUAGCGGUGAAAUGCGCAGAUAUCAGGAGGAACACCGGUGGCGAAGGCGGGUCUCUGGGCCGAUACUGACGCUGAGGAGCGAAAGCGUGGGGAGCGAACAGGAUUAGAUACCCUGGUAGUCCACGCCGU